This 433-nucleotide ribosomal RNA is filed under the name uncultured bacterium. Its description in RNAcentral is "partial 16S ribosomal RNA". It matches the Rfam family "Bacterial small subunit ribosomal RNA", at positions 29 to 507 of the family's 1533-position model. The record is from RNAcentral.
AACGAACGCUGGCGGCAUGCCUAACACAUGCAAGUCGAACGAGACCUUCGGGUCUAGUGGCGCACGGGUUCGUAACGCGUGGGAACCUGCCCUUAGGUUCGGAAUAACUCCCCGAAAGGGGUGCUAAUACCGGAUAAUGUCUUCGGACCAAAGAUUUAUCGCCUUUGGAUGGACCCGCGUUGGAUUAGCUAUUUGUUAGGGUAAAAGCCUACCAAGGCGACGAUCCAUAGCUGGUCUGAGAGGAUGAUCAGCCACACUGGGACUGAGACACGGCCCAGACUCCUACGGGAGGCAGCAGUGGGGAAUAGUGGACAAUGGGCGAAAGCCUGAUCCAGCAAUGACGCGUGAGUGAUGAAGGCAUUAGGGUUGUAAAGCUCUUUUAACCGGGAUGAUAAUGACAGUACCGGGAGAAUAAGCUACGGCUAACUCCGUG